RNAcentral lists this ribosomal RNA (305 nucleotides) under uncultured bacterium. RNAcentral describes it as "bacterial SSU rRNA". It matches the Rfam family "Bacterial small subunit ribosomal RNA", at positions 335 to 638 of the family's 1533-position model. The record is from RNAcentral.
GCGCCUACGGGAGGCAGCAGUGGGGAAUAUUGCACAAUGGGGGAAACCCUGAUGCAGCGACGCCGCGUGAGGGAAGACGGUCCUAUGGAUUGUAAACCUCUUUUGCCGGGGAGCAAAAAGCGGUACGUGUACCGCAUCGAGAGUACCCGGAGAAAAAGCAUCGGCUAACUCCGUGCCAGCAGCCGCGGUAAUACGGAGGAUGCGAGCGUUAUCCGGAUUUAUUGGGUUUAAAGGGUGCGCAGGCGGCGAGUUAAGUCAGCGGUAAAAUUUCGGGGCUCAACCCCGACGAGCCGUUGAAACUGGCU